RNAcentral lists this ribosomal RNA (253 nucleotides) under uncultured bacterium. Its description in RNAcentral is "partial 16S ribosomal RNA". It matches the Rfam family "Bacterial small subunit ribosomal RNA", at positions 524 to 776 of the family's 1533-position model. The record is from RNAcentral.
UACGGAGGGUGCAAGCGUUGUCCGGAUUUAUUGGGUUUAAAGGGUGCGUAGGUGGGUAUUUAAGUCUGGUUUGAAAGCAAGCGGCUUAACCGUUUGAUGUGGCUGGAAACUGGAUAUCUUGAAUGGGUUGGCGGUAGCCGGAAUGGGUCAUGUAGCGGUGAAAUGCAUAGAUAUGACCCGGAACACCGAUUGCGAAGGCAGGCUACUACGACUUGAUUGACACUGAGGCACGAGAGCAUGGGUAGCGAACAGG